GAUUAUAUCUCUGCGCUUUGAUG
Molecule: non-coding RNA, 23 nt
Filed under: Arabidopsis thaliana (thale cress)
Lineage: Eukaryota; Viridiplantae; Streptophyta; Magnoliopsida; Brassicales; Brassicaceae
Source: RNAcentral